Molecule: ribosomal RNA, 497 nt
Filed under: uncultured bacterium
Lineage: Bacteria
Description: partial 16S ribosomal RNA
Rfam family: Bacterial small subunit ribosomal RNA
Source: RNAcentral
GACGAACGCUGGCGGCGUGCCUAAUACAUGCAAGUUGAGCGCUGAAGGUUGGUACUUGUACCAACUGGAUGAGCAGCGAACGGGUGAGUAACGCGUGGGGAAUCUGCCUUUGAGCGGGGGACAACAUUUGGAAACGAAUGCUAAUACCGCAUAAAAACUUUAAACACAAGUUUUAAGUUUGAAAGAUGCAAUUGCAUCACUCAAAGAUGAUCCCGCGUUGUAUUAGCUAGUUGGUGAGGUAAAGGCUCACCAAGGCGAUGAUACAUAGCCGACCUGAGAGGGUGAUCGGCCACAUUGGGACUGAGACACGGCCCAAACUCCUACGGGAGGCAGCAGUAGGGAAUCUUCGGCAAUGGACGAAAGUCUGACCGAGCAACGCCGCGUGAGUGAAGAAGGUUUUCGGAUCGUAAAACUCUGUUGGUAGAGAAGAACGUUGGUGAGAGUGGAAAGCUCAUCAAGUGACGGUAACUACCUAGAAAGAGACGGCUAACUACGUG